AGAUCCUCCUCCACCUCCUUCACCUGGGCAAGAUUGAUUGGCAAGUCCUUCCACUCCCACCCACCCUUGCCCAGAAGGUCCUUGGCGGCUACACCACCCACCCUCCCAGCCAGCCAGCCACCUACCCCUCCCUGAGCUACUCUUGCCCACUCCUCAUCCAUGGCCACCUUCAGGGACUCGCAAAGUCCUCUCCCUCCACCCUCACUCACUCUCAGGCACCAGUUGCAGGGCCAUGAGAGUGUACCCCAGUCAACACUAAUCCACCUCAGACACAACCACCACCAACCACCCAAGAUUCACAGGGUAGCAAAAUGAAGGGAACAGGAUCAGUCAAUUUUUUGUUCAGUUCUCCUCCUUACCCAAGGAGUACCUAAUUUGUUUUCAUUAUUUAUUUAUUUUUUACAGGAA
This is a long non-coding RNA of Eriocheir sinensis (Chinese mitten crab), 408 nucleotides long. RefSeq lists it as uncharacterized. The transcript has 3 exons. NCBI's taxonomy places the organism in Eukaryota, Metazoa, Arthropoda, Malacostraca, Decapoda, Varunidae. The record is from RefSeq and is a predicted model, not a curated record.